UAAUACCAGCACCUCGAGUGGUCAGGAGGUUUAUUGGGCCUAAAGCAUCCGUAGCCGGCUUUGCAAGUCUCCGGUUAAAUCCAGCUGCUCAACAGAUGGGCUGCCGGAGAUACCACAAAGCUAGGGAGCGGGAGAGGUAGACGGUAUUCGGUGGGUAGGGGUAAAAUCCACUGAUCCAUCGAGGACCACCAGUGGCGAAGGCGGUCUACCAGAACGCGUUCGACGGUGAGGGAUGAAAGCUGGGGGAGCAAACCGGAUUAGAUACCCGGGUAGUCCCAGCUGUAAACGAUGCAAACUCGGUGAUGCAUUGGCUUAUGGCCAAUGCAGUGCCGCAGGGAAGCCGUUAAGUUUGCCGCCUGGGAAGUACGGACGCAAGUCUGAAACUCAAAUGAAUUGACGGACGUCG
RNAcentral lists this ribosomal RNA (406 nucleotides) under uncultured archaeon. RNAcentral describes it as "bacterial SSU rRNA". It matches the Rfam family "Archaeal small subunit ribosomal RNA", at positions 471 to 877 of the family's 1478-position model. The record is from RNAcentral.